GAUGAACGCUAGCGACAGGCCUAACACAUGCAAGUCGAGGGGCAUCGGGGAGCGAAGCUUGCUUUGCUCCGCCGGCGACCGGCGCACGGGUGAGUAACGCGUAUGCAACCUGCCCGUUUCAGCGGGAUAACCCGGAGAAAUCCGGCCUAAUACCGCAUGUGGCCGAGGGAAGGCAUCUUCUUUCGGCCAAAGGAGGCGACUCCGGAGACGGAUGGGCAUGCGUGACAUUAGCUUGUUGGCGGGGUAACGGCCCACCAAGGCGACGAUGUCUAGGGGUUCUGAGAGGAAGGUCCCCCACACUGGUACUGAGACACGGACCAGACUCCUACGGGAGGCAGCAGUGAGGAAUAUUGGUCAAUGGGCGAGAGCCUGAACCAGCCAAGUCGCGUGAAGGAUGACGGCCCUACGGGUUGUAAACUUCUUUUGUCAGGGAGCAAUUGGGUCCACGCGUGGGCUUAGCGAGAGUACCUGAAGAAAAAGCAUCGGCUAACUCCGUGCCAGCAGCCGCGGUAAUACGGAGGAUGCGAGCGUUAUCCGGAUUUAUUGGGUUUAAAGGGUGCGUAGGCGGAAUAUCAAGUCAGCGGUAAAAAUUCGGGGCUCAACCCCGUCGUGCCGUUGAAACUGAUGUUCUUGAGUGGGCGAGAAGUAUGCGGAAUGCGUGGUGUAGCGGUGAAAUGCAUAGAUAUCACGCAGAACUCCGAUUGCGAAGGCAGCAUACCGGCGCCCAACUGACGCUGAAGCACGAAAGCGUGGGUAUCGAACAGGAUUAGAUACCCUGGUAGUCCACGCAGUAAACGAUGAAUGCUAAUUGUCCGGAGGGAUUGACCUCUGGGUGAUACAGCGAAAGCGUUAAGCAUUCCACCUGGGGAGUACGCCGGCAACGGUGAAACUCAAAGGAAUUGACGGGGGCCCGCACAAGCGGAGGAACAUGUGGUUUAAUUCGAUGAUACGCGAGGAACCUUACCCGGGCUCAAACGCAGGAGGAAUACAUUUGAAAGGGUGUAGCUCUACGGAGUCUUCUGCGAGGUGCUGCAUGGUUGUCGUCAGCUCGUGCCGUGAGGUGUCGGCUUAAGUGCCAUAACGAGCGCAACCCCUAUCGACAGUUGCCAACAGGUGAAGCUGGGAACUCUGUCGAGACUGCCGGCGCAAGCUGAGAGGAAGGCGGGGAUGACGUCAAAUCAGCACGGCCCUUACGUCCGGGGCGACACACGUGUUACAAUGGCGGCCACAGCGGGAAGCCAGGCGGCGACGCCGAGCGGAACCCGAAAAGCCGUCUCAGUUCGGAUUGGAGUCUGCAACUCGACUCCAUGAAGUUGGAUUCGCUAGUAAUCGCGCAUCAGCCAUGGCGCGGUGAAUACGUUCCCGGGCCUUGUACACACCGCCCGUCAAGCCAUGGAAGCCGGGGGUGCCUGAAGUGCGUGACCGCAAGGAGCGCCCUAAGGUAAAACCGGUGACUGGGGCU
This 1462-nucleotide ribosomal RNA is filed under the name uncultured bacterium. Its description in RNAcentral is "bacterial SSU rRNA". It matches the Rfam family "Bacterial small subunit ribosomal RNA". The record is from RNAcentral.